GCGAGCGUGGCGGAAUUGGCAGACGCGCCAGGUUUAGGUCCUGGUGUCUUUAGACGUGGAGGUUCGAGUCCUCUCGCUCGCA
RNAcentral lists this transfer RNA (82 nucleotides) under Phycisphaerae bacterium. Its description in RNAcentral is "tRNA-Leu". It matches the Rfam family "tRNA". Rfam says of the family: Transfer RNA (tRNA) molecules are approximately 80 nucleotides in length. RNAcentral also lists the same sequence under 1 other name. The record is from RNAcentral. Lineage: Bacteria; Pseudomonadati; Planctomycetota; Phycisphaerae.